Rattus norvegicus (Norway rat) is the source of this 117-nucleotide small nucleolar RNA. Ensembl annotates it as small nucleolar RNA SNORA17. NCBI's taxonomy places the organism in Eukaryota, Metazoa, Chordata, Mammalia, Rodentia, Muridae. The record is from Ensembl.
CCUGCCCCUAGAGGCCAUGCAGGUGUGCCUGCUGUGUCACACGUGUGUCGGUAGGUGGCAGAGAGGAGAGAGACUAUGUCCACGCUCAGCGUUCUGAAUGAUUAGUAGCCUAACCUU